UACAGAGGGGGCAAGCGUUGUUCGGAAUUACUGGGCGUAAAGGGCGCGUAGGCGGCCUGUUAAGUCGAACGUGAAAUCCCCGGGCUCAACCCGGGAACUGCGUCCGAUACUGGCAGGCUUGAAUUCGGGAGAGGGAUGUGGAAUUCCAGGUGUAGCGGUGAAAUGCGUAGAUAUCUGGAGGAACACCGGUGGCGAAGGCGGCAUCCUGGACCGAUACUGACGCUGAGGCGCGAAAGCGUGGGGAGCAAACAGG
This 253-nucleotide ribosomal RNA is filed under the name uncultured bacterium. Its description in RNAcentral is "partial 16S ribosomal RNA". It matches the Rfam family "Bacterial small subunit ribosomal RNA", at positions 524 to 776 of the family's 1533-position model. The record is from RNAcentral.